CGCGUAGGCGGCUCGAUAAGUCAAAGGUGAAAUCCCUCGGCUCAACUGAGGAACUGCCUUUGAAACCGUCGAGCUCGAGUCCGGGAGGGGGUAGCGGAAUUCCCAGUGUAGCGGUGAAAUGCGUAGAUAUUGGGAGGAACACCAGUGGCGAAGGCGGCUACCUGGACCGGUUCUGACGCUGAUGCGCGAAAGCGUGGGUAGCAAACA
This 207-nucleotide ribosomal RNA is filed under the name uncultured bacterium. RNAcentral describes it as "partial 16S ribosomal RNA". It matches the Rfam family "Bacterial small subunit ribosomal RNA", at positions 568 to 774 of the family's 1533-position model. The record is from RNAcentral.